This 278-nucleotide unclassified non-coding RNA is filed under the name Salicornia fruticosa. Its description in RNAcentral is "partial external transcribed spacer". Lineage: Eukaryota; Viridiplantae; Streptophyta; Magnoliopsida; Caryophyllales; Amaranthaceae. The record is from RNAcentral.
UAGUCGUAUGGGUGAAUGUUGGCACGGUCCUUGUGAUGCGGUACGUGAUGGCGUGUGAGUGGUGUUUGGUUUGUGUGGUUGGCGGGCUCUUUGCUUGUGCAUUGAACCGUUCACUAGCAUACCUCUUCAUGGUUUGUUCCAAGUGCAUCUUGUGCCUUGGGCGAAGUGUGGUCCCUAUGUUGUAUUCCUAAUGACGGUAUUGUUGUUGUCCCCCUCUAAUGAGUGAUUUCCGCUCCACCUCCGUAAAAGGAGGUAGAGCGGACAAGCGGAACUUGGAU